GGCAGUCCUAGGGACUCAGGAGCUGCUCAACUCCUUCAUCCUCUGGCUGCAGAGAGACUAAGGGCACUUCCGGAGGUUCAUUACCACCUGGGACAGAAGGACAGGGAGGCAGCAGCCAUUGCCUGACCAUGCUGACCACAGGGCCUUGAAUCCUGCCUGAGGGAACUGGGGCCUGAAGUUUGGGCAGAUAUAGCAUCAACAAAACUAUGCUUUUCAAACUUUAAUCACAUAUUCUAACACCAGAGUGUGAACUCUAAUCUAUAGGGAUCUGGGGCUAAAGGCUAAUAGCCAGCUCCAGCCACAACUUUUUUUUGCCUAUAGAUGUGUAAGAACUUGAUGCAAAAAUUCUGAACAAAAUUAAAUUCAGUAUUUUGUCUGGCCUAUA
This is a long non-coding RNA of Galeopterus variegatus (Sunda flying lemur), 385 nucleotides long. RefSeq lists it as uncharacterized. The record is from RefSeq and is a predicted model, not a curated record. The transcript is spliced from 2 exons. NCBI's taxonomy places the organism in Eukaryota, Metazoa, Chordata, Mammalia, Dermoptera, Cynocephalidae.